This is a non-coding RNA of Clostridium sp., 61 nucleotides long. The record is from Rfam. Lineage: Bacteria; Bacillati; Bacillota; Clostridia; Eubacteriales; Clostridiaceae.
AUAAUGAUACACCCAUAUGACACGGCUACUCAUAGGAAUGAGAGGGGUUAAAGUCCCGUGG